This 202-nucleotide ribosomal RNA is filed under the name uncultured Staphylococcus sp. RNAcentral's name for it is "partial 16S ribosomal RNA". It matches the Rfam family "Bacterial small subunit ribosomal RNA", at positions 160 to 354 of the family's 1533-position model. Lineage: Bacteria; Bacillati; Bacillota; Bacilli; Caryophanales; Staphylococcaceae. The record is from RNAcentral.
GGAGNAUACACGGAUAAUAUUUCGAACCGCAUGGUUCGAUAGUGAAAGAUGGUUUUGCUAUCACUUAUAGAUGGACCCGCGCCGUAUUAGCUAGUUGGUAAGGUAACGGCUUACCAAGGCGACGAUACGUAGCCGACCUGAGAGGGUGAUCGGCCACACUGGAACUGAGACACGGUCCAGACUCCUACGGGAGGCAGCAGAG